This 253-nucleotide ribosomal RNA is filed under the name uncultured bacterium. RNAcentral's name for it is "partial 16S ribosomal RNA". It matches the Rfam family "Bacterial small subunit ribosomal RNA", at positions 524 to 776 of the family's 1533-position model. The record is from RNAcentral.
UACGUAGGGUGCAAGCGUUGUCCGGAUUUACUGGGCAUAAAGAGCGCGCAGGCGGUCGUUCAAGUCGCGUGUGAAAGCCCCCGGCUCAACUGGGGAGGGUCACGCGAUACUGAUCGACUCGAAGGCAGGAGAGGGUAGUGGAAUUCCCGGUGUAGUGGUGAAAUGCGUAGAUAUCGGGAGGAACACCAGUGGCGAAGGCGACUACCUGGCCUGUUCUUGACGCUGAGGCGCGAAAGCUAGGGGAGCAAACGGG